This 465-nucleotide ribosomal RNA is filed under the name uncultured Klebsiella sp. Its description in RNAcentral is "bacterial SSU rRNA". It matches the Rfam family "Bacterial small subunit ribosomal RNA", at positions 338 to 795 of the family's 1533-position model. Lineage: Bacteria; Pseudomonadati; Pseudomonadota; Gammaproteobacteria; Enterobacterales; Enterobacteriaceae. The record is from RNAcentral.
CCUACGGGGGGCAGCAGUGGGGAAUAUUGCACAAUGGGCGCAAGCCUGAUGCAGCCAUGCCGCGUGUGUGAAGAAGGCCUUCGGGUUGUAAAGCACUUUCAGCGGGGAGGAAGGCGGUGAGGUUAAUAACCUCAUCGAUUGACAUUACCCGCAGAAGAAGCACCGGCUAACUCCGUGCCAGCAGCCGCGGUAAUACGGAGGGUGCAAGCGUUAAUCGGAAUUACUGGGCGUAAAGCGCACGCAGGCGGUCUGGCAAGUCGGAUGUGAAAUCCCCGGGCUCAACCUGGGAACUGCAUUCGAAACUGGCAGGCUAGAGUCUUGUAGAGGGGGGUAGAAUUCCAGGUGUAGCGGUGAAAUGCGUAGAGAUCUGGAGGAAUACCGGUGGCGAAGGCGGCCCCCUGGACAAAGACUGACGCUCAGGUGCGAAAGCGUGGGGAGCAAACAGGAUUAGAUACCCCAGUAGUC